Molecule: ribosomal RNA, 229 nt
Filed under: uncultured bacterium
Lineage: Bacteria
Description: partial 16S ribosomal RNA
Rfam family: Bacterial small subunit ribosomal RNA
Source: RNAcentral
UGCGUAGGCGGUUUAUUAAGUCAAAUCUGAAAGCCCUCGGCUUAACCGAGGAGGGUGAUUUGAAACUGGUAAACUUGAGUACGGCAGAGGUUAGUGGAAUUCAAUGUGUAGCGGUGGAAUGCGUAGAUAUAUUGAGGAACACCAGUGGCGAAGGCGGCUAACUGGACCGGAACUGACGCUGAGGCACGAAAGCGUGGGGAGCAAACAGGAUUAGAUACCCUGGUAGUCC